This 385-nucleotide ribosomal RNA is filed under the name uncultured bacterium. Its description in RNAcentral is "bacterial SSU rRNA". It matches the Rfam family "Bacterial small subunit ribosomal RNA", at positions 29 to 439 of the family's 1533-position model. The record is from RNAcentral.
AACGAACGCUGGCGGCAGGCCUAACACAUGCAAGUCGAGCGAUCCUAGCAAUAGGGGAGCGGCAGACGGGUGAGUAACACGUGGGAACGUACCCUUCGGUUCGGAAUAACUCAGGGAAACUUGAGCUAAUACCGGAUACGUCCGAGAGGAGAAAGAUUUAUCGCCGAAGGAUCGGCCCGCGUCUGAUUAGCUAGUUGGUGAGGUAACGGCUCACCAAGGCGACGAUCAGUAGCUGGUCUGAGAGGAUGAUCAGCCACAUUGGGACUGAGACACGGCCCAAACUCCUACGGGAGGCAGCAGUGGGGAAUAUUGGACAAUGGGCGCAAGCCUGAUCCAGCCAUGCCGCGUGAGUGAUGAAGGCCUUAGGGUUGUAAAGCUCUUUUAC